RNAcentral lists this long non-coding RNA (475 nucleotides) under Gossypium raimondii (Peruvian cotton). RNAcentral describes it as "long non-coding RNA (GRAI_LNC008088)". The record is from RNAcentral. Lineage: Eukaryota; Viridiplantae; Streptophyta; Magnoliopsida; Malvales; Malvaceae.
UGAGUUUUGGCUAAAAAGAAAAUAAAUGGAGAAAAAAGAGUGAUAGAGACUAAGAUGAAGGAAAAGAAGAGAGGAAAAGAGAAGAAUAGUAGAGAUCGACGGUAGUGGCGAAAGGGUGGUGCAAAAACGGAAUGGUGAUAAUACCAAAUGGGGCAACGGUGGUGAAAGAAAAAAAAGAAAUAGAUGAUAAGGGAGGAGAGGAGAGGAGCGGCGGUCAAAGAAGCAAGAAAAAGAAAGAAGGGGCAGCCGUGACAGUGGUGUAAGGGGGCAAAAACAACAGAAAGGAGAAAACAAAUAGGGAGGGAAAGCUAAAAGAGGGGACGACACAAUAAGGAGGAAAGAAAAGAUGAAAUGAGAGAAAAGAAAGUCAAAAGGAAAAUUAGAGUUUUUGGGAAGUUAUAAUGGAAACAAGGUAAGAACAAAAGAAAAAUGAAAGAGAGGAAAAAUGAGAGGGGAACGAGGAGGAAAAAUUGAG